AGUCGCCUACGGGGCGCAGCAGUGAGGAAUAUUGGUCAAUGGUCGGGAGACUGAACCAGCCAAGCCGCGUGAGGGAUGAAGGUACAGAGUAUCGUAAACCUCUUUUGUCAGGGAACAAAGGCGGGGACGUGUCCCCGGAUGCGUGUACCUGAAGAAAAAGCAUCGGCUAACUCCGUGCCAGCAGCCGCGGUAAUACGGAGGAUGCGAGCGAUAUCCGGAUUUAUUGGGUUUAAAGGGUGCGCAGGCGGUCGGUUUAGUCAGCCGUCAAAGCCCGGG
This 276-nucleotide ribosomal RNA is filed under the name uncultured bacterium. Its description in RNAcentral is "partial 16S ribosomal RNA". It matches the Rfam family "Bacterial small subunit ribosomal RNA", at positions 333 to 606 of the family's 1533-position model. The record is from RNAcentral.